UAUUGUUCUUCAACGAGGAAUCCCUAGUAAGCACAAGUCAUCAGCUUGUGUUGAUUACGUCCCUGCCCUUUGUACACACCGCCCGUCGCUACUACCGAUUGAAUGGCUUAGUGAGACCUUCGGAUCGGUAUUCAAAAGUUGGCAACAACAUUUGUUUGCUGAAAAGUUGUUCAAACUUGGUCAUUUAGAGGAAGUAAAAGUCGUAACAAGGUUUCCGUAGGUGAACCUGCGGAAGGAUCAUUAAUGAUUUUUUAAGCAAACCAAGCGAAAGCGAGGUUUUGCGAAUAUAUUUAAAACCCCACUCUUAAUAAAAAUUUUCAUUCAUUCAUAAUAUGAAUAAAAAAGAGAUCACUUUCAACAACGGAUCUCUUGGUUCUCGCAUCGAUGAAGAACGCAGCGAAAUGCGAUAUGUAGUGUGAAUUGCAGAGGUAUGUGAAUCAUCGAAUCUUUGAACGCAAAUUGCACUCUUUGGUAUUCCGAGGAGUAUGCCUGUUUGAGGGUCGCUUAAUAAACAUCGAUUUCAUUGCUUUUUUUAAAGUGAUGUUUAUCGGAUUUGAGCCGUCUUUUUUUUAUAUAUUAUAUAUUUUUUAAAAGUGGCUUAGAAUUUGAUUUUUCUGGUAUGAUCGAAG
RNAcentral lists this unclassified non-coding RNA (629 nucleotides) under Septoglomus sp. ZS-2014. Its description in RNAcentral is "sequence contains 18S rRNA gene, ITS1, 5.8S rRNA gene, ITS2, 28S rRNA gene". The stretch from base 1 to 243 matches the Rfam family "Eukaryotic small subunit ribosomal RNA", at positions 1591 to 1831 of the family's 1831-position model. Lineage: Eukaryota; Fungi; Glomeromycota; Glomeromycetes; Glomerales; Glomeraceae. The record is from RNAcentral.